CGCAGCAGUCGCGAAAACUUCACAAUGGGGGCAACCCCGAUGAGGGAAUUCCUAGUGCUAGCUCUUUUUGAGUUAGCUUUUCUUUAGCGUAGAUAACUAAAGGAAUAAGGGCUGGGUAAGACGGGUGCCAGCCGCCGCGGUAAUACCUGCAGCCCAAGUGGUGGCCGAUAGUAUUGAGUCUAAAACGUUCGUAGCCGGUCUGGUAAAUCUUUGGGUAAAUCGGGGAGCUUAACUUUCCGACUUCUGAGGAGACUACCAGACUUGGGACCGGGAGAGGCUAGAGGUACUUCUGGGGUAGGGGUAAAAUCCUGUAAUCCUAGAAGGACCACCGGUGGCGAAGGCGUCUAGCUAGAACGGAUCCGACGGUGAGGGACGAAGCCCUGGGGCGCAAACGGGAUUAGAUACCCCGGUAGUCCAGGGUGUAAACGCUGCAGACUUGGUGUUGGAGAUCCUUCGAGGGUAUUCAGUGCCGGAGAGAAGUUGUUAAGUCUGCUACUUGGGGAGUACGUCCGCAAGGAUGAAACUUAAAGGAAUUGGCGGGGGAGCACCGCAACGGGAGGAGCGUGCGGUUUAAUUGGAUUCAACACCGGAAAACUCACCAGGGGAG
This 607-nucleotide ribosomal RNA is filed under the name uncultured archaeon. RNAcentral describes it as "bacterial SSU rRNA". It matches the Rfam family "Archaeal small subunit ribosomal RNA", at positions 331 to 938 of the family's 1478-position model. The record is from RNAcentral.